AUGGGCAUCUUGCCGAUGAUGUUCGCUUUGCUGGUAAUCUGGUCACAAGGAAUGCCAAUAGCUCCGGAGUCCAGAGCUGUAACAAGCCAGCCGAGCCCUGAGGGGAACUGGGCGCAACCAUCCCGUGCCAGUACCACACUUUAUGGUUGCCCGUCGAGCUGCGGCAAUCUGAGCUUUGCCUAUCCCUUCGGCAUCGGAUCCAGGUGCUCCCGUGGUCCUGACUUCAACCUCACUUGCAACGACACCACUCAGCCGUCCAGGCUUUUCUUGCGCGACGGCAUCACCGAGGUGAUCAAAUUCGGCAAUCCUCUUUUUAGUUCAAACUUGAUCCAUGCCUCGUUCUCGCAUACCAUCCCCAUGAAAUCUGGUGUUAGUGUCUACAACUUGCCUUUCGAAUUGCCUGGGAAGUCAUUCUCUCUUGGGUCCAUUGCUCUUAACAUUACCGGCUGUGACCUGGAGGUAUACUCUAUCGGAAACAAUGCCACCAUGUUAAUAUGCAGCACUGUGUGCUUGGACCCAAGAAUCCCAGAGAUGGUGGCUAUGCAGAACUGUAAAAAUACCUCCGGAUGCUGUCGUGUUGAUGUGGACAGUGACCGCAGUUUUCAGUUCAGAUUUGUCUAUAACCAAAGCAAAAGAAACAUUGAUGCACGCCCCAACCAGACCUCUCAACUGUGGGAGAGAAUCAACAUAACAAAUGAUUGGCCGAGUGGCUUUCUGCUAUCGUGGCAGAUAGUUGACCAAUCCAACUGUGCUGCUGGGAAGAAAAACAUGGCAAAGUAUGCCUGUAUCAGCGAGCAUGCCAUGUGCAUUGACAGUACAACCGGAAGCCAUGGCUACAGCUGCAUGUGCAGGACUGACUAUACAGGUAACCCCUACAUUCCAGGUGGUUGCUCCAAGCCCAAUGACAGUGGGUAUAAUCCAAUUCAGUGCUGGGCACGUUGCACCCGUUUCUGUGGUAAGACUAGUGUGCAAUUCCCAUUCGGCAUAGAAGAGGGUUGCUUUGCAAGUGAACAGUUCCAGCUCAACUGCGCAAAUCUGACGUCAUCACCUGCUCUCAUGCUGGGGAAUGCCCAGGUCUUCGAUAUAUAUAUUGAAGAAGGGACCAUUAACGUCAACAAUCCCAACCAACAAGGGAGAUCUGUCAUAUCUGAAUUUUUUCUCUUUCCUAUUCCUUCUGGGCCAUUCUCCUCUGUGCAAUGGUUUGCUUCUAAUCUCAGUUGUGCAGAAGCCCAACAGAGUAAGUUUGAAUAUGCUUGCUUGAGUAUCAACAACAAGUGUGUGGAAGUAACUGUUAAGGACAAUGAUUCUGUUGAUAGAGGGCCUGUUUGGUUGGGAACUAAAAUGGCCACGCCUAAGUUGAGGUGCUAGAUGCCAAGUUCUCACCGUGAUUUGAAAGACGACAAGAACGGGAUAUAUCCCGGUUGUGAGUUUCAAUCCUUCUUGGAAUUGAAGAUGUGGCUCGAUAACUACUCGGUUACGCAUUAUCGUCCACAUAAAGUGGCCAACUCGGACGCCAAUGUGCGUUACACGGUCAAAUGUGAAGUGCAUUGACCUUGUGAAAGCCAUCUUUCAUUACAAGGUGAAGUACGGCAAGGCAUGGAAGGCAAAGCAAGCCGCAUUCAAGAUAUUGUAUGGCAAUUGGGAGGAAGCAUACAACCGACUCCCUAGGUUGUUGUUAGCUAUGGCCACCACAAACCCAGACAUGGUUCACGUGGUUGAGCCUCAUGGGCAACAAGUGGAUUCAUCACCUGAACUGAAGAGCACCAACAAGUGUUAGGGACUUAGGGAAGUUGCGCCCAUUUUUUCCGCAGCCUUCUCCACCAUCGCACCAACUCGAAGAAGUUGGCGCUCUCGGUUGCUCGCUUCUUUCUAUCACGGAAGAAUUAUUUCCGGAAGAACCAAGGUCUUCUCCUAGAAACAUUGAUAUCAUCUGAUGAAACUGCAAAUGAGAAUACUAAGAUUUUCUUGCUAGAAGAGCUGGAGAAGGCAACAAACAACUUUGAUCCUACACGUAUUAUCGGCCGUGGGGGCCAUGGCAUGGUUUACAAAGGCAUAUUAUCUGAUCAGCGUGUCGUUGCAAUAAAAAAGUCUAAGACCAUUGUGCGGUGUGAGAUCAGUCAAUUCAUCAAUGAAGUCGCAGUCCUCUCUCAGAUAAAUCACAGAAAUAUCGUGAAGCUCUUUGGAUGUUGUCUCGAAACCGAGGUUCCACUGUUGGUGUAUGACUAUGUAUCCAGUGGCUCACUGUCUCAGGUUAUUCAUGCCGAUUCAAGCAUUGGCCUUUCUUUGUCUUGGGGUGAUUACUUAAGGAUUGCCGUAGAAACAGCAGGGGCUCUAUCUUAUCUCCACUCUUCAGCUUCGAUAUCAAUCUUCCAUCAUGAUGUGAAGUCCUCAAAUAUACUCUUAGAUGUGAACUACACAGCCAAAGUUUCAGAUUUUGGCGCGUCCAGAUUGGUUCCGAUUGAUCAGACACACAUUGUCACGAAUGUGCAAGGUACAUUUGGGUACUUAGAUCCAGAGUAUUUCUAUACCAGGCAGCUGAACGGGAAGAGCGACGUCUACAGUUUUGGUGUGGUACUAGUGGAGUUGCUUCUCAGAAAGAAGCCUGUUUUUACAAGUGAAUCAGGCACCAUCAAGGGCUUGUCAAGCUAUUUUCUCCAGGAGUUCAGUGAGGGGAGAAUCACGGGUAUUGUUAGUUCCCAGGUCCUAGAGGAGGCAACUGAGGAAGAGAUCAACGGUGUCGUCUCUCUUGCAGAGCGGUGCUUAAGUCUGCGUGGUGAAGAAAGACCCACCAUGAAACAG
This 2799-nucleotide ribosomal RNA is filed under the name Triticum aestivum (bread wheat). RNAcentral's name for it is "partial small subunit ribosomal RNA". Lineage: Eukaryota; Viridiplantae; Streptophyta; Magnoliopsida; Poales; Poaceae. The record is from RNAcentral.